RNAcentral lists this ribosomal RNA (496 nucleotides) under uncultured bacterium. RNAcentral's name for it is "partial 16S ribosomal RNA". It matches the Rfam family "Bacterial small subunit ribosomal RNA", at positions 28 to 506 of the family's 1533-position model. The record is from RNAcentral.
GAUGAACGCUGGCGGCGUGCCUAAUACAUGCAAGUCGAGCGAACAGACGAGGAGCUUGCUCCUCUAACGUUAGCGGCGGACGGGUGAGUAACACGUGGAUAACCUACCUCUAAGACUGGGAUAACUUCGGGAAACCGGAGCUAAUACCGGAUAAUAUAUUGAACCGCAUGGUUCAAUAGUGAAAGACGGUUUUGCUGUCACUUAUAGAUGGAUCCGCGCCGCAUUAGCUAGUUGGUAAGGUAACAGCUUACCAAGGCAACGAUGCGUAGCCGACCUGAGAGGGUGAUCGGCCACACUGGAACUGAGACACGGUCCAGACUCCUACGGGAGGCAGCAGUAGGGAAUCUUCCGCAAUGGGCGAAAGCCUGACGGAGCAACGCCGCGUGAGUGAUGAAGUUCUUCGGAUCGUAAAACUCUGUUAUUAGGGAAGAACAAAUGUGUAAGUAACUAUGCACGUCUUGACGGUACCUAAUCAGAAAGCCACGGCUAACUACGU